GCGCAGCAGUCGAGAAUCUUCCACAAUGGACGAAAGUCUGAUGGAGCGACGCCGCGUGCGGGAUGAAGGCCUUAUGGGUUGUAAACCGCUGUCAGGGGGGAAGAACAUCGGAAUGAACAAUACUCAUUCCGACUGACGUUACCCCCAGAGGAAGCUCCGGCCAACUCCGUGCCAGCAGCCGCGGUAAUACGGGGGGAGCAAGCGUUGUCCGGAAUUAUUGGGCGUAAAGGGCGUGUAGGCGGCGAGGUAAGUCGAAUGUG
RNAcentral lists this ribosomal RNA (260 nucleotides) under uncultured microorganism. RNAcentral describes it as "partial 16S ribosomal RNA". It matches the Rfam family "Bacterial small subunit ribosomal RNA", at positions 346 to 596 of the family's 1533-position model. The record is from RNAcentral.